Long non-coding RNA from Equus caballus (horse), 765 nucleotides. Lineage: Eukaryota; Metazoa; Chordata; Mammalia; Perissodactyla; Equidae. The record is from Ensembl.
GUCAAGAGUAACAGUCACGGAAAUUCUGCGGUCGUGGCACAGAGAAUAGUCAAACGGCGGUGACGUCGAGCCGCCUCUCCCGAGCAGCCAGGAGCCGGGCGCUGACCCUAAGAUUGGAUGUGGGAAAGCAGCAAUGCUAACGUCUGUCUCCCUGGACACCCCACAUCAUCAUCCUUUUGUAAACAAAGGAGGCUUUGAAGCCACCAGGAGUCCUGCAAGGGUGAGAGAGACGAGAAUGAGCUACAGGCUCCCUGGUGGAAAGCGGAGCCGGGAAAUCUUCCAUAACCUUCCUUGUUUUUCCUAAUUAUGAAAGUAGCAAGUGUUCGUGGUAGUAAAUACGCCAGAGCAUCAAGAAAAAACUAUUAUCCAAAAGAGACAGACAAACGUAACAUCUGGUUUAAAGCAUUUUGGUUUAUGUGUAUAAUUUUUUCUAAUUUUUAGCAUUAAAUUAUGUGCAGUUUUAUUUCCUGCUUUUCUUUCACUGGACUUGGAUCAAAAGUGUUUUCCCAUGUCGAACCCCUCGUCACUGUAAGCAUUUUGUGUGACUAUGUAUCAGCCCAUUCUGUUGAAGGUCUGGUACUCAUUUCUGAGGGUUUCCUCCUUGCCUUUUUAUAUCAGGCCGCUGGGUUUGCUCUGUGGUGGAUAUUCAAACCUGCCUUAUCCGCUUCCUCUCUGCGCUUUCUGAAAUUUUCGACACUGGUUACUGGAUGCGGAAGACCCCGCUACAUAAUCACUGGAAAAUAGAAAUUCUAGGUUUGUCUUGAG